RNAcentral lists this long non-coding RNA (315 nucleotides) under Eucalyptus grandis. RNAcentral's name for it is "long non-coding RNA (EGRA_LNC007807)". The record is from RNAcentral. Lineage: Eukaryota; Viridiplantae; Streptophyta; Magnoliopsida; Myrtales; Myrtaceae.
AUUUUGUUAAUUUCCUUGAGAUAUAUGAUGGGUUUGAUUUCUCAAAGAUCUUGAAAACUGGAAAAGAAAAUGCUACGUCACAUGUGCAAAAUCUAAUUUGACAAGCAAGAUAUUCUGAUCUAUGUAGAGAUACUCCAUGGAAAUAUAGUUAAUAAAUUACUUUACACAUGGCUAAAAGCCUAAAACUUGCAAAAACCUAAUCAAAGCAGUUACGAUUCCACCGAUUAUCUGGUUUGCGAGGAUGACUGGUUUCAGUUUGAUCUGACAAAAGGAUAUCAAACAACCACAACCAAGAUUUUCGCUUCGACAUACCUG